CCCGUACACAAAAGCGCAUGUGCUGUGAGCUCGAUGAGUAGGGCGGGACACGUGGUAUCCUGUCUGAAUAUGGGGGGACCAUCCUCCAAGGCUAAAUACUCCUGACUGACCGAUAGUGAACCAGUACCGUGAGGGAAAGGCGAAAAGAACCCCGGCGAGGGGAGUGAAAAAGAACCUGAAACCGUGUACGUACAAGCAGUGGGAGCACAGGUUUACCUGUGUGACUGCGUACCUUUUGUAUAAUGGGUCAGCGACUUAU
This 259-nucleotide ribosomal RNA is filed under the name Salmonella enterica subsp. enterica. RNAcentral describes it as "partial 23S ribosomal RNA". It matches the Rfam family "Bacterial large subunit ribosomal RNA", at positions 372 to 631 of the family's 2925-position model. Lineage: Bacteria; Pseudomonadati; Pseudomonadota; Gammaproteobacteria; Enterobacterales; Enterobacteriaceae. The record is from RNAcentral.